This 465-nucleotide ribosomal RNA is filed under the name uncultured bacterium. Its description in RNAcentral is "partial 16S ribosomal RNA". It matches the Rfam family "Bacterial small subunit ribosomal RNA", at positions 338 to 795 of the family's 1533-position model. The record is from RNAcentral.
CCUUCGGGAGGCAGCAGUAGGGAAUCUUCCACAAUGGGCGAAAGCCUGAUGGAGCAACGCCGCGUGGGUGAAGAAGGUCUUCGGAUCGUAAAACCCUGUUGUUAGAGAAGAAAGUGCGUGAGAGUAACUGUUCACGUGUCGACGGUAUCAAACCAGAAAGCCACGGCUAACUACGGGCCAGCAGCCGCGGUAAUACGUAGGUGGCAAGCGUUAUCCGGCUUUAUGUGGCGUCAAGGGAACGCAGGCGGUCUUUUAAGUCUGAUGUUACAGCCUUCGGCUUAACCGGAGUAGUGCAUUGGAAACUGGUAGACUUGUGUGCAGAAGCGGCGACUGGAACUCCAUGUGUAGCGGUGAAAUGCGUAGAUAUAUGGAAGAACACCAGUGGCGACAGCGGCUCUCUGGUCUGUACCUGACGCUGAGGUUCGAACGCGUGGGUAGCAAACAGGAUUAGAUACCCCGGUAGUC